AAGAUGUCCUUAGCUUCUCUAACUCGUCAAUCCUACCAGUGUUGAAUUCAGCAGCCUUCUCAAGAUCCACAAUACUCUGGCCCUGCGAAGCAACCGUUCUGUUAGUGCUCACGAUUUUGGCAUCCAGUUCACCAAUCGCAGCCUUGAAAUCCUCAGCUAUAGCAACACGUAAUUCUCCCAGAGCCAGGAUUUAGGUCAUCCAUUCCCUGAAAGGGGCCUCUGAUUGUGAAGGUGGGAGGCAGUGUCGCACGGGGGAGAGGGAUCCGCUGCAUUCAGGAUCAACAUCAAGUCUCGGACCACUUGUCUCAAAGCCAGCCUCAACCUGCAAGCCACAAGACUGUUACAACAGCUCAACCCUGGGAUGACUACGGCAUCCUACCAAACACUUACCAUUUAUUUAUAUUCUGUACACACUGAAACUACCUUUGUCUACCGGACCAAUGCAAUAGUUAUGUCACCUUACUGCACUACUAAUGGAUAUACUUUCAUAUAAUUCUAUGCUGCUACUACGCUGUACCUUUUCCACUCAAUAUGCCCAUGGGCGAACAAUAUCCAUGCUAUAUCCCUAUAGGCAAUUGUUUACAAUCUUAUUUUAAUUGAUAUAUUAUUUUAUUUUAUCUGCAUGCGUCUUUUUAUUAGUUUGUUAUAUAUUUACAAUGUCACUUAUUUGAUUGCUUUCCUAUGUUACUUAUUUGAUUACUAUGUCACUUUUGUCGCACUGUGUGAGAAGCCUGCAAGUACAUGACAAUAACAUUUGAUUUGACUGGAUUUGGAUUUGAUUUGUCAUCACCAGUGGAUCCAGGUGACCAGGACUGGCCCUCGUUAUAGGAUAGAUUUAGCACAUACAUAAUCAUUUACAGUACUAUUCCACAAAUGUUUUUCAAAUGGCACCCAAUGUAUCUUAAAUAAUAAAAAUCAAUAAGGGAGUAGGAAAGCCGGUGGCUUCACCCUGAAAAAAAGUG
Long non-coding RNA from Coregonus clupeaformis (lake whitefish), 962 nucleotides. RefSeq lists it as uncharacterized. NCBI's taxonomy places the organism in Eukaryota, Metazoa, Chordata, Actinopteri, Salmoniformes, Salmonidae. The transcript has 2 exons. The record is from RefSeq and is a predicted model, not a curated record.